GUCGAACGAUGAAGCCCUUCGGGGUGGAUUAGUGGCGAACGGGUGAGUAACACGUGGGCAAUCUGCCCUUCACUCUGGGACAAGCCCUGGAAACGGGGUCUAAUACCGGAUACCACUCCCUCGGGCAUCUGCGAUGGUCGAAAGCUCCGGCGGUGAAGGAUGGGCCCGCGGCCUAUCAGCUUGUUGGUGAGGUAACGGCUCACCAAGGCGACGACGGGUAGCCGGCCUGAGAGGGCGACCGGCCACACUGGGACUGAGACACGGCCCAGACUCCUACGGGAGGCAGCAGUGGGGAAUAUUGCAAAUGGGCGCAACCUGAUGCAGCGAGCCGCGUCGGGAUGAGGCCUUCGGUUGUAAACCUCUUUCAGCAGGGAAGAACGCAAUACGGUACCUGCAGAAGAAGCGCCGGCUAACUACGUGCCAGCAGCCGCGGUAAUACGUAGGGCGCAAGCGUUGUCCGGAAUUAUUGGGCGUAAAGAGCUCGUAGGCGGCUUGUCACGUCGGGUGUGAAAGCCCGGGGCUUAACCCCGGGUCUGCAUUCGAUACGGGCUGGCUAGAGUGUGGUAGGGGAGAUCGGAAUUCCUGGUGUAGCGGUGAAAUGCGCAGAUAUCAGGAGGAACACCGGUGGCGAAGGCGGAUCUCUGGGCAUUUACUGACGCUGAGGAGCGAAAGCGUGGGGAGCGAACAGGAUUANAUACCCUGGUAGUCCACGCCGGUAAACGGUGGGAACUAGGUGUUGGCGACAUUUCCCCGUCGUUCGGGGCCGCAGCUAACGA
Molecule: ribosomal RNA, 776 nt
Filed under: actinobacterium CP53
Lineage: Bacteria; Bacillati; Actinomycetota; Actinomycetes
Description: bacterial SSU rRNA
Rfam family: Bacterial small subunit ribosomal RNA
Source: RNAcentral